This 217-nucleotide long non-coding RNA is filed under the name Lathyrus oleraceus (garden pea). RNAcentral describes it as "Pisum sativum (pea) long non-coding RNA (PSAT_LNC007969)". Lineage: Eukaryota; Viridiplantae; Streptophyta; Magnoliopsida; Fabales; Fabaceae. The record is from RNAcentral.
UUAGAUAAACGACAAGUACUUGAAUGACUGAGUAGGGUAACUCAUAUCCAAAUAUUUGAGGAGAGGAAUCGAAGGCUCAAGACCAUCUCCCUUUUCGUUUAGUUUAUAAUGAAAAUGAUUUGAUUUCAUCGGGUUUAGAAGUUUGUAGAGAAAUGACAAUUGUCUGACUAACUGAGUAAGAGAACUCAUAUUCAAACAAUCUAGGAGAGGAUUUGAA